Molecule: transfer RNA, 85 nt
Filed under: Euzebyales bacterium
Lineage: Bacteria; Bacillati; Actinomycetota; Nitriliruptoria; Euzebyales
Description: tRNA-Leu
Rfam family: tRNA
About the family: Transfer RNA (tRNA) molecules are approximately 80 nucleotides in length. Their secondary structure includes four short double-helical elements and three loops (D, anti-codon, and T loops).
Source: RNAcentral
GUCGGCGUGGCGGAACUCGGUAGACGCGCAUGGUUGAGGGCCAUGUGGGCUUCGGCCCUUGGGGGUUCAACUCCCCCCGCCGACA